AACCCCAGCUCCAGGGGCUCAGCAGGCAAAGCGAAUCACUGGGUGGGGGCACCACCCGGGGACUCCAAUAUCUCACCUGUCCCUCCACAGGUUGGAGGUGGGAGGAACAACCCCCACCAAACCCAGAGCCGAAAACUGAGGGAGUUUUAAAGACAGGACGGAGCUCCUGCACCUCGGAGCCUCAGUUGGGGAUGACCUGGGGUCUUGUCCUGAAGCUGAGUCUGGUGAACGUGCCCCAUUUGUAGCAUGAGGGGUACUUCUCUGGAGGGACUGUAUGUUGACAGUGGCAGAGUGGAGCCCUCAAGUCCACCUGAGUGAAUAUACCAGGGCUUGAGAA
Molecule: non-coding RNA, 337 nt
Filed under: Pongo abelii (Sumatran orangutan)
Lineage: Eukaryota; Metazoa; Chordata; Mammalia; Primates; Hominidae
Source: RNAcentral